CUACUCGACUCCUACGGGGAGGCAGCAGUGGGGAAUAUUGCACAAUGGGCGCAAGCCUGAUGCAGCCAUGCCGCGUGUAUGAAGAAGGCCUUCGGGUUGUAAAGUACUUUCAGCAGUGAGGAAGGUGGGUAUGUUAAUAGCAUAUUCAUUUGACGUUAGCUGCAGAAGAAGCACCGGCUAACUCCGUGCCAGCAGCCGCGGUAAUACGGAGGGUGCGAGCGUUAAUCGGAAUUACUGGGCGUAAAGCGCGCGUAGGCGGCUUGAUAAGCCGGUUGUGAAAGCCCCGGGCUCAACCUGGGAACGGCAUCCGGAACUGUCAGGCUAGAGUGCAGGAGAGGAAGGUAGAAUUCCCGGUGUAGCGGUGAAAUGCGUAGAGAUCGGGAGGAAUACCAGUGGCGAAGGCGGCCUUCUGGACUGACACUGACGCUGAGGUGCGAAAGCGUGGGUAGCAAACAGGAUUAGAUACCCUGGUAG
This 474-nucleotide ribosomal RNA is filed under the name uncultured bacterium. Its description in RNAcentral is "bacterial SSU rRNA". It matches the Rfam family "Bacterial small subunit ribosomal RNA", at positions 328 to 793 of the family's 1533-position model. The record is from RNAcentral.